CACGUAGGGGCGAGCGUUGUCCGGAAUUACUGGGCGUAAAGGGCGCGCAGGCUGUUAUGCGAGUCUGCUGUGAAAUGUACCGGCUCAACCGGUGCCUUGCGGCGGAUACUGCAUAGCUGGAGUACUGGAGAGGGAAGUGGAAUUCCCGGUGUAGCGGUGAAAUGCGUAGAUAUCGGGAGGAAUACCGGUGGCGAAGGCGGCCACCUGGACUGAUACUGACACUGAGGUGCGAAAGCGUGGGGAGGCAAACAGGAUUAGAUA
This 261-nucleotide ribosomal RNA is filed under the name uncultured prokaryote. RNAcentral's name for it is "partial 16S ribosomal RNA". It matches the Rfam family "Bacterial small subunit ribosomal RNA", at positions 524 to 784 of the family's 1533-position model. The record is from RNAcentral.